CUGCAGUGGAGUGAGAAGAACCAGCAGCUCCCAGCUGCCUCCACCCAGCCUAAGUAGCAGGGCGGCCCAAUUGGAAUCAGGUGUGUCCAGCUGUCCCAGCUCUGGCCAAGCGUUAAAUUGUGGAGAGCACCACAAGGCACAAUUUAUUUUCCUUUUCUGUGCAUUCUAGAGUGUGAAAACAAGUUAAUAUGAGCAAGCUAACAAUGGACGUCAUGGGAAAUACGCUAAAGCCAUCAUAAAAUACAAAAUUACAUAACAGACUUCUAUAUUAACUAAGUUACAGCGAUAUUGUCAUUGUAGCAGCUAACACAAAAAAACGCCUUGCUAGCGGUUUCUUGUCAGCGUCACUCACAGACAAAAGCGUGGAUACCUAGAUCUCAAUUCCGCUACGAAGACUCAACAAGAUGCUCGUUUGCUGUCAGCGAGGACUGGAGCACACUUCUCGUGCUGGAAGAAACAGCCAUUCCAAGGACAGCGGACAUUGGUGUACCCUGCCUUUCGCCCAAAGGCAGCUGGGAGAGGCUCCAGCAUGACCGCGACCCUUCUCGCUUGUGUAUCAGCCCACGAGUAUUAUCCACCCUCUGAAUAAGCUUGCCAGCAAUGUAGCCAGUCCUCCAGAUGUGAGUCCAAGCUGCAAGGCUUCCAAAGUGGGGCUAUGAUUGUUGUGAAAACACCCUCAGGCUCAUUGAGGGGCCAAAGUGGAAAACGUUUAUGCAUAUUCCACAUAUCAAAUACAAACCUCAAACCAUUGUUUGUGUGGAUGAUGAAGUCUGGCUCUUGUCUGUCUCAGUGGAAAUGAUGGAUACAGGAUGGCUAUAAUUAAAAAAAAAAAAACAAGACUGUUGACCUGUUUCAGUCUUUUACUGAUGGACUCCAAGACAGCUAAAAGACAGACAAUAUUGAAACAGCUCUUAAGUGUGUUUUAAAUUAUAUUUCCUGCCACAAUGUAGUCCAACAUUGUUAUAUAAGAGUUGCCUUUAAUUUUAGAUGUGUUCUCUGUUCGGUGUUUUCAAAUUUGGUGUGGCUGUGCGGCUGGACAAUUAAUUAUGUAGCUCCGCUCUGUUUCUUAAUUUCCCGUCUCACUGGUUGCAAGACAUGAAUUAAUAACAUCCUUUAAUAAGCUAUGUUUUUUUGUCUUGUUCCUGUCAUAUACCUAUUAGUGAGGCAUGCUUUGAAUGACAGAGAGAG
Non-coding RNA from Doryrhamphus excisus (bluestripe pipefish), 1188 nucleotides. The record is from RefSeq and is a predicted model, not a curated record. Lineage: Eukaryota; Metazoa; Chordata; Actinopteri; Syngnathiformes; Syngnathidae.